GGGGUGUGAUUGGAGGUAGUAUGCCAAGUUGCCAAUGCAAACUUCAGUCAGGCAUUGUUUCGGGUACAGAUGGUUAGGGCACAUAGUUUUGGUGUAACAAAUGGAGCAGACGUGCAGCAGUCUGCACAAGCUAAAACCGCAACUGCCCGAAUUGAAAUUGUUGCAGAUCUGAGCCUUGCCCAGGUACACAAUGGGCAUGCCCAAUUUGUCUUUCAGGCCUCUGUGUUCAGC
Pelobates cultripes (western spadefoot toad) is the source of this 231-nucleotide non-coding RNA. Lineage: Eukaryota; Metazoa; Chordata; Amphibia; Anura; Pelobatidae. The record is from the annotation of a GenBank genome assembly.